RNAcentral lists this unclassified non-coding RNA (484 nucleotides) under Hevea brasiliensis (rubber tree). The record is from RNAcentral. Lineage: Eukaryota; Viridiplantae; Streptophyta; Magnoliopsida; Malpighiales; Euphorbiaceae.
GGAAAAUUAAUUCUCAACUUCAAUUCAGUAAUUCAAGGAGCACAAUAUUUACAAGUUAACCAACAAAACCAACCUCCUCAAACCAUCUAUUUGAAGUCCACCAGCUUUAAUUUGCUGCUUCAUCCAAACCCAAAAGGAGAAAAGAAAUAAUGUUUCAGCUUCUUUCAUGCUUAACCCUUGUUCUUCUUACCUUCCUACUCUCUGGAUCGACCAUGGCUGCUGGAGAGUACAAUUACUGCUCAAGGUUGUUCAGGGACUUCCUUCCAUGUUUACGUUAUGUGGGAGGAUUAUCUCAGGACCCAACAAGGAAUUGCAGCCAAGGCAACAGAAAACUCAAUGGAAGAGCAAAACUUAAUAGAGAAGGUCGAAAGAAGAUUUGCCAAUGCAUUGAAGAUAUGACCUAUGUCAUGAACUUAGCGUUUGUUGCCUCUCAAAUUGUUUCUCUUCAAGACAAGUGCAAUUUGCACUUGAGUUUCCCAAUUUC